GAUGAACGCUAGCGGCAGGCUUAAUACAUGCAAGUCGUGGGGCAGCAUGAGUAGCAAUACUUGAUGGCGACCGGCAAACGGGUGAGGAACACGUACACAACCUUCCUUCAAGCGGGGAAUAGCCCAGAGAAAUUUGGAUUAAUACCCCAUAAUAUAUUUGAUAAGGCAUCUUAUUAAUAUUAAAGCUUCGGCACUUGAUGAUGGGUGUGCGGCUGAUUAGAUAGUUGGCGGGUAACGGCCCACCAAGUCUAUGAUCAGUAGCUGAUGUGAGAGCAUGAUCAGCCACACGGGCACUGAGACACGGGCCCGACUCCUACGGGAGGCAGCAGUAAGGAAUAUUGGACAAUGGACGAAAGUCUGAUCCAGCCAUGCCGCGUGAAGGAUUAAGGUCCUCUGGAUUGUAAACUUCUUUUAUAUGGGACGAAAAAGGGCAUUCUUGUUCACUUGACGGUACCAUAUGAAUAAGCACCGGCUAACUCCGUGCCAG
RNAcentral lists this ribosomal RNA (487 nucleotides) under uncultured bacterium. Its description in RNAcentral is "bacterial SSU rRNA". It matches the Rfam family "Bacterial small subunit ribosomal RNA", at positions 28 to 511 of the family's 1533-position model. The record is from RNAcentral.